RNAcentral lists this unclassified non-coding RNA (537 nucleotides) under Hevea brasiliensis (rubber tree). Lineage: Eukaryota; Viridiplantae; Streptophyta; Magnoliopsida; Malpighiales; Euphorbiaceae. The record is from RNAcentral.
GGGGCUAUAUGGGGUGAGUAUGGGUGGAUACGGAGGGAUAUGGGGGGGGGUGGGGGGCCGUGGGGCAGAGCCACGGGGCCGGCGGUCAGUCGCAGCACAGCAGCACGGCGCUGUUGAGCCCGGUGUCGUCCUGGGUUCGCUGCGGGGCUUCGACGCGGGUGCGCAGCCCGCAAACCCCCACAUUUGGGGGGCACGACUCGCUCCAAUUGCCCCACAGCCCCCGGACGCCCCCCCCGCCCUCCAACGUGGUGCCAUCAGAGCAGAAGAAAGCGGCGUCGUUGGCGGCCGUGUCGUCCCACAGCCCCCGGGACGGCUCCACGCGGAGGCGGAAGGAAAUGAUGCGGGAAGAGCGCGGGCAGCCCUGGGCUGGGAGCCACUGCCCCCAGUGCCCCUCGCUGGACGUGAUCACCCCCCUCUCAUUGCACAGCAGUCGGAUCCCAUUCAGUGCGGUGUCAUCACGGAACGUCCCCUGGGGGGGCUCCACCUUCAAUUGGAACCCGGUGACGAAGGAUCCUUUGGGGCAGAACUCCACCUCCC